CAGAUUGGCUUCUUGCUAGGAAGCUGUGGUAUUGCCUUAGCUCUUACCAGUGAAGUUUGUCUAAAAGGACUGCCAAAAACCCAGAAUGGAGAAAUAGUACAGUUUAAAGGUUGGCCCCGGCUCAAAUGGGUUGUAACAGAUUCCAAGUACCUUUCAAAGCCACCGAAAGACUGGCAGCCACACAUCUCACCUGCUGGGACAGAACCGGCAUACAUUGAGGUAAGUCCUAAGAUGUAAAAUAUGCUUUCAGGCUUUUCCUUGGGCUUUGCUUACCACCUUUCAAAAUAUAAAACUGAAUUUUUGCAACGUUAAUGUUAGAAGAUCCUCCUGCUUUGUGAGAUUUCCAUCUUUUGGCUUGUAAAAUGCCUUGUAGUGGAUCUUCUAUCCUAAUUAUUUUGAUCAUAAGUAUACAUUCAAGAGAAUGACAGC
Molecule: small RNA, 429 nt
Filed under: Pan troglodytes (chimpanzee)
Lineage: Eukaryota; Metazoa; Chordata; Mammalia; Primates; Hominidae
Description: retained intron
Source: RNAcentral